Molecule: non-coding RNA, 2518 nt
Organism: Tetranychus urticae (two-spotted spider mite)
Lineage: Eukaryota; Metazoa; Arthropoda; Arachnida; Trombidiformes; Tetranychidae
Source: RefSeq, a predicted model, not a curated record
ACACAAAUCACAUUUUCCAUUAAUCUAGUUAUCUUUAUUUCACUUUACAGAUUUUGUGUAACAAUAAGAGGUUGGCUUUAAUUUUGGCGCUUCCCCAUUAUAUAACACAUGACUCGUAACUUGGUUACAAUGUAACAACCUGAUAACAGCGUUGACUUGAUUCGUAUGGAAACAAGUGAUUUCAAUGGAUUUGAAUUGUAAUUGAAUAAGACUGACCGUGUUUAAAGUGUCCCAAUGAUACCCACGCUGAUCGCCAACGCAUUUGUGCCAAUACUCAAGGUAAGUAAAAAUGAAACUGCAAUUUCUCUAACCAUUGGUUCUGUUGUUUUUUUUGUUAUUUUUUCAGACUGAUUAUAAUGAGGAUGGUGAGAAAUGAUGAUCAAUCCUUCUCUCAGAUGCAGAGUGAUAUAUUAAAUGGAAAGUGAAACAACAACAGUUUUUCAUCCACGCAUUGGAUGAAAACCAACUGAAGACGUUUAAGCACCCACGAUUGGUUGUGAUCAACAGAACCUCAGGAUGACCCUACCUCAGGGUCUUUUUACCCUCAAACCACUCCACCACCACCACCACCAUCAUUAUCAUCAGAACUUUUAACUCUAUAUUCAAUUCUCCAUCAGAAUAAGUAAAUGUAACAUGAAAAUCAAAAGGCUGAUUGGCUUUCGCAUUCAAACAAGAUGAAGGUGGUGAUAGAUUCAACUAUUUUCAUAACAUUUUGCGAAUUGGAUUAAACAAAAUCAACAAACCUGACGAAAUUUAAAUGAUUGAUUAGAUGCAGAUACUUAAUUUACCUAGAAUUAAUAAGAAAGGUGUUAAGGAUGUUUUGUUUUAGCAACAAAAAAAGUUUUCCCUGUGGUAAUUAAAUAGUUAAUCAUUAACUUGCCAAUUGCAGUUGACAAUAAAACCAGUUAUGAUGGUAAAACCAGUUCAACGUUAAACCUCAACCUUAGACCUCAACAAAAAGUCAAAGCCAAGCAACAUUUUCUGGUAAAAAGAUGACAAUUAUCAACUUUACAUGAAACUGAUUAUAAUUGUUCAAUGAUUAAUAAAUGACAAGUAAUCAUUAUCAGAAACAGGUUUAACAACAAUUUGUUGAUGAAAUUAGUAAGCAAAGGUAAAAAGACUAUAAAAUGGACUUGGAUUCAGUUUAUUUGCAUCGAUUAUUGGUAAUUAAAUUGUUUUUAUGGUUCCAUUUGGAUUUAUUGGGAAUAAUAAUGAACCAGAUAAUCUUGAAAUUUAUUGUGAUAAAUUCAAUGUCAAUGAAUGCUGAUUAAAUGGAGAGAAUAGGUUCAAUUCCAGUUUCAAAUGUUGAGCCAAUGAAAUUGCCAAUGGAAUUAUCUUGAUGAAAUUUGUCAAAAUUGGAUUCAACAAUCGGCUAAUUAACGUUGAAAUGGUCAAAAUCAAUUGAUUCCCAAACUGCUACAAGCAAGAUGUUUACAAAGUUGAUUAAUAGCAAUUGGAUUGUCAAUAAAUCGUGAUUUGAAAUUUAAGCUGUUAAACAUUUAAAGAUGACACACAAUAGGAUCUCCCAGACAAUUAACUGAUGUGUUUAUAAUUAAUGAAGGACAAUUAGCUGUUAAAAUGAGCAAUAAAUAUUUCAAGAGGGAGAUGGACAACAACAAGAUGAACAACAAUUUAACCAGUAGCUGGAAUCAUUGAAAGCGCUUUGUUAAUUGUGAAGGAAUGGUUACUGUUGAAAGUGAGAAUCACGAAAAAGCAAUUACAAUGUAAUCAUGAUUAUUAGAUGAUCACUAAAGAUACCCAAUUUGACAAGGAGCAACAAUGAUGCCAAUGAUUAGUAAAAUGAUGAUACGGACGAUGGGGAGAGAUGAAAGGAAAGAGUAACAAGAAGGUUAAAUAAGCCAUGUUCAACAAGUGUUGAUGUAAUAUUGAGAAGGCGAUGAAAACGUGAAUCAUGUAUCGUGACUGAGAGAGAUUCUGAUCACUAUCAACAGAAUCAUUAUCAUUAACAUCAACAGCAACCAUCAACAGUUAUCAACAUGAUACAGCGAGACAAUUAAUAUAAACAACAGUUGACAAUUGAAGAUUCACUGGACUUGGAGACUCAACAUUUUCACUCAUUAAAAUCAUCAAUUAUCAAUUGAAUUAAUCUAUAAAUGAUAAACUAUUGCUUUUAUUAAGGUAAACAUUCAACCAAUCAUUUCAAGUGUUUCCAUCCAUAGCUUCGGGUAACAUUCACAUCAUGUUAAGGUGAACCGUUUAUAUGAUGAAAAGUAUAGUUCGGAUCACAAUUGAAGUUAAUAAAUUUAACUGGAAUUAUCAUAAUAAUAUUAAUUGAAGGUGCUCACAAUCUUCAUCCUAAGGUCCUCUUUACAGGUAAAAAACAUGAAUAUUUGUAUAAAAAUGAUAAUCAUUUCUUUUUUUUUCUUGUGAUUCUUGUAAUGCAAAAGCUAUUAAUAUGAUUGAUUAUCUUGUCUUGCCAGUCUCUUAAGCCAAUGGUUGUCAAAAUGUUACAGUUAAAGUUAAUAAAAAUAUUGGUAAUAAUAAUCAUCAGGAUAAU